RNAcentral lists this ribosomal RNA (497 nucleotides) under uncultured bacterium. RNAcentral's name for it is "partial 16S ribosomal RNA". It matches the Rfam family "Bacterial small subunit ribosomal RNA", at positions 28 to 507 of the family's 1533-position model. The record is from RNAcentral.
GAUGAACGCUGGCGGCGUGCCUAAUACAUGCAAGUCGAGCGAACAGACGCGGCGUUUGUUCCUUUGACGUUUGCGGCGCACGGGUGUGUCACACGUGGAUACCCUCCCUAUCAGUCUGGGAUCACUUCGGGAAACCGGAGCUUAUACCGGAUAAUCUAUUGCACCGCAUGGUUCAAUGGUGAGAGACGGUUUUGGUGUCUCUUAUAGCUGGAUACGCGCUGGAUUAGCUAGUUGGUAAGGUAACGGCUUAUCACGGGUACGAUGCGUAGCCGACCUGAGAGAGUGAUCGGCCACACGGGAGCGUGGACGCGGACCAGACGCCUACGAGAGGCAGCAGUAGGGAAUGUGCCGCAAUGGGCGAGAGCCUUACGGAGCGACGCCGCGCGAGUGAUGAAAGUCUUCGGAGCGUAAUACUCGGUUAUGAGGGAAAAACAAAUGUGUAAGGAACUAUGCACGUCUUGACGGUACCGAAUCAGAAAGCCACGGCUAACUACGUG